RNAcentral lists this ribosomal RNA (462 nucleotides) under uncultured bacterium. RNAcentral's name for it is "partial 16S ribosomal RNA". It matches the Rfam family "Bacterial small subunit ribosomal RNA", at positions 338 to 795 of the family's 1533-position model. The record is from RNAcentral.
CCUACGGGUAGCUGCAGUGAGGAAUAUUGGUCAAUGGACGCAAGUCUGAACCAUCCAAGUAGCGUGCAGGAUGACGGCCCUCCGGGUUGUAAACUACUUUUAGUUGGGAAUAAAAAGGGGCUCGUGAGCCCCGUAGUGUAUUUACCAUCAGGAAAAGUACCGGCUAAUUCCGUGCCAGCAGCAGCGGUAAUACGGCAGGUUCGGGAGUGAUCCGGAGUUAUUGGGUUAAAAGUGAGCGUAGGGCUGCUUUUCAUUCCGCUGUGAAGGUCCGCGGCUCAACCGGGGAAUUGCAGUUGAACAUGGCGGCAUUGAGUGCACACAGGGAUGCCGGAAUUCAUGGUGUGGCGGUGAAAUGCUUAGAGAUCAUGAAGAACUCCGAGCGCGAAGGCAGGUGUCCGGGGUGCAACUGACGCUGAGGCUCGAAAGUGAGGGUAUCAAACAGGAUUCGAUACCCGAGUAGUC